UCCAUUAAAACACAAGUUUCGCCCAAAAUACUAUAUGCACAAUUUGAAAAUAACCUAAUUAUGAACCACCGGAAAAAAAAAAAAAAACAAAAUCAGCACCAACAAUCAGCACACUAAAAAGCAAAGUUAACCAGAAACAAGAUCUUGAGACGCUCGAGAGGAGCAACGGUUGUCUUGGCAACUCCACCGAGAAUAAGGUGGUUUAUGGGUGUGUGUGGAUAAAGUGAAGGAGAUAAAGAAUUUGAGAGGGAAGGUAGAUGGUGAACGGCUGAUAUGUUUAAGUUAGGGUUAUUCUCUUAA
Molecule: long non-coding RNA, 300 nt
Filed under: Helianthus annuus (common sunflower)
Lineage: Eukaryota; Viridiplantae; Streptophyta; Magnoliopsida; Asterales; Asteraceae
Description: hypothetical non coding rna
Source: RNAcentral